GACGAACGCUGGCGGCGUGCUUAACACAUGCAAGUCGAGCGGUAAGGCCCUUCGGGGUACACGAGCGGCGAACGGGUGAGUAACACGUGAGUAAUCUGCCCAUCACUUCGGGAUAACUCCGGGAAACCGGUGCUAAUACCGAAUAUGACCACUUCAGGCAUCUGAUGGUGGUGGAAAGUUCCGGCGGUGAUGGAUGAGCUCGCGGCCUAUCAGCUUGUUGGUGGGGUAGUGGCCUACCAAGGCUUCGACGGGUAGCCGGCCUGAGAGGGUGACCGGCCACACUGGGACUGAGACACGGCCCAGACUCCUACGGGAGGCAGCAGUGGGGAAUAUUGGACAAUGGGCGAAAGCCUGAUCCAGCAACGCCGCGUGAGGGAUGACGGCCUUCGGGUUGUAAACCUCUUUCAGCAGGGACGAAGCGCAAGUGACGGUACCUGCAGAAGAAGCACCCGCCAACUACGUG
RNAcentral lists this ribosomal RNA (463 nucleotides) under uncultured bacterium. RNAcentral describes it as "partial 16S ribosomal RNA". It matches the Rfam family "Bacterial small subunit ribosomal RNA", at positions 28 to 507 of the family's 1533-position model. The record is from RNAcentral.